This 402-nucleotide ribosomal RNA is filed under the name uncultured bacterium. RNAcentral's name for it is "bacterial SSU rRNA". It matches the Rfam family "Bacterial small subunit ribosomal RNA", at positions 355 to 772 of the family's 1533-position model. The record is from RNAcentral.
UGGGGAAUAUUGGGCAAUGGGGGCAACCCUGACCCAGCGACGCCGCGUGGGGGAAGACGGCCUUCGGGUUGUAAACCUCUUUUGUACGGGAAGAAGGAAGUGACGGUACUGUACGAAUAAGUCCCGGCUAACUACGUGCCAGCAGCCGCGGUAAUACGUAGGGGACGAGCGUUGUCCGGAAUUACUGGGCGUAAAGGGCGCGCAGGCUGUGCUGCAAGUCAGCUGUUAAAUGUCUGGGCUUAACCCGGGCAUGCGGUUGAGACUGCGGUGCUGGAGUGCUGUAGAGGCAAGUGGAAUUCCCAGUGUAGCGGUGAAAUGCGUAGAUAUUGGGAAGAACACCGGUGGCGAAGGCGGCCACCUGGACAGGUACUGACGCUGAGGUGCGAAAGCGUGGGGAGCAAA